AGAGAUGUGUGAUGACGCAUAUCAAUAAGCGGAGGAAAAGAAACUAACAAGGAUUCCCUUAGUAACGGCGAGUGAAGCGGGAAGAGCUCAAAUUUGAAAUCUUCAAGGUUCUACCUUGACGAAUUGUAGUUUAUAGAAGUGUUUUCUGUUAGUGGAGUGGCAAAAGUUCUUUGGAAUAGGACAUCAUAGAGGGUGAGAAUCCCGUAUUUGGUCAUUCCUUCUAGCUUUGUGAUACACUUUCAAAGAGUCGGAUUGUUUGGGAAUGCAGUCCAAAAUGGGUGGUAAAUUUCAUCUAAAGCUAAAUAUUGGCGAGAGACCAAUAGCGAACAAGUACCGUGAGGGAAAGAUGAAAAGAACUUUGAAAAGAGAGUUAAACAGUACGUGAAAUUGUCAAAAGGGAAGCGUUUGACACCAGUGUUGUUUUUCCGAAAAUCAAUUACGAAUGUUUUAUUUUUGAGAAGUUAUGACUUCAUCGGCUUGCUCCUUUCUUUAUGAAACUUUCUUAAUGCACUUUUCGGUUAACAAGUCAACAUCAAUUUCUUUUGUUGUAAAAGGGUAUGAGGAAGGUGGCUUUCUUUUCGGAGAAAGUGUUUAUAGCCUUGUGCCUCUGCAAUCGGAGAGAUUGAGGUCUGCAGCGUAGAUCCUUCGGGGUUAGAUACAUUUGUGCUAAGUUAUAGCUUUUCAUAGACAACUUGUUGACUAUGUUUAGUCUUGUAGCUUACUCGCUUAUGCUAUUUUACCUACGCUUAGGAUGUUGACGAUCAGCUGAGCGCG
RNAcentral lists this ribosomal RNA (774 nucleotides) under uncultured Neocallimastigales. RNAcentral's name for it is "partial large subunit ribosomal RNA". It matches the Rfam family "Eukaryotic large subunit ribosomal RNA", at positions 23 to 646 of the family's 3401-position model. The record is from RNAcentral. Lineage: Eukaryota; Fungi; Neocallimastigomycota; Neocallimastigomycetes; Neocallimastigales.